GAUUUCUUAUUUCAUGUAACCAAUAAAAAAAUUUCGGUCUACAAAGUGUAAUUAUUAUGACCGGUAAAACAGGACGGUCCGGCAUCACCUUAAGACACGCUGCUUGAGAAAAGAUGAAACACUAAAGAAGCAAGGAGAAAAUAUUGAGACCUCUGUAUAAUUUGUCACUAGUAACCUCUUUAUCCUCUAAUUUAAUGGAAAAGGUGAAUUAAUGUGAACUAUCUCUUUCAGAAUAUUUUAGAGAAAGAAAAGCUAGAUUCGGUGGAGAACAGUAGAGCGACAAAAUAUUUCAGAAUAAAGUUAAGAAUAUUAAAUGUGAUACUUGGUGUUAUAUAAAAAUAUGACUAUAUCAUUCUUAAUGUUUUUUUCAAUUUCAACAAAACCUUAAUUAAAAAGCAAAUAAAAAGUACUAUCUUUUGUAAAUACCAUUA
Molecule: long non-coding RNA, 431 nt
Organism: Formica exsecta
Lineage: Eukaryota; Metazoa; Arthropoda; Insecta; Hymenoptera; Formicidae
Exons: 3
Source: RefSeq, a predicted model, not a curated record